RNAcentral lists this ribosomal RNA (453 nucleotides) under uncultured bacterium. RNAcentral describes it as "SSU rRNA". It matches the Rfam family "Bacterial small subunit ribosomal RNA", at positions 26 to 518 of the family's 1533-position model. The record is from RNAcentral.
AGAACGAACGCUGGCGGCAUGCCUAACACAUGCAAGUCGAACGUGAUCCAGGCUUCGGCCUGGUGAAAGUGGCAGACGGGUGAGUAACGCGUGGGAACCUGCCCUGUGGUAGGGAAUAACCGUGGGAAACUGCGGCUAAUACCCUAUGAGUCCUUCGGGAGAAAGAUUUAUCGCCAUAGGAGGGGCCCGCGUCGGAUUAGGUAGUUGGUGGGGUAACGGCCUACCAAGCCUUCGAUCCGUAGCUGGUCUGAGAGGAUGAUCAGCCACACUGGGACUGAGAUACGGCCCAGACUCCUACGGGAGGCAGCAGUGGGAAUAUUGGACAAUGGGGGCAACCCUGAUCCAGCAAUGCCGCGUGGAUGAUGAAGGCCUUCGGGUUGUAAAGUCCUUUCGGCGGGGAAGAUGAUGACGGUACCCGCAGAAGAAGCCCGGCUAACUCGUGCCAGCAGCCGC